This 77-nucleotide transfer RNA is filed under the name Planctomycetota bacterium. RNAcentral describes it as "tRNA-Val". It matches the Rfam family "tRNA". Rfam says of the family: Transfer RNA (tRNA) molecules are approximately 80 nucleotides in length. The record is from RNAcentral. Lineage: Bacteria; Pseudomonadati; Planctomycetota. RNAcentral also lists the same sequence under 1 other name.
GGGCGUUUAGCUCAGUUGGUUAGAGUGCCUGGAUCACACCCAGGAGGUCGGGGGUUCGAGUCCCUCAACGCCCACCA